Bombus huntii is the source of this 4395-nucleotide long non-coding RNA. RefSeq lists it as uncharacterized. The record is from RefSeq and is a predicted model, not a curated record. Lineage: Eukaryota; Metazoa; Arthropoda; Insecta; Hymenoptera; Apidae. The transcript has 2 exons.
AAAUGACCAAUUAACAAACGCGCGCGAUCGUAGUAGAACGAAAGAAAAGAUUUGUAUGAUUUUGCGAAGCGAAGGUCUUUGACGUGAAAUAUCAUUUUUUUUUUUCAAAUAAAUCUGCUUAUUAUCUACGUGUAACCAUCGAACAAUUGCUUUUCGUUGACCGUUUCAAAUUGCCUAACAUCCCCUAAACGAUUAACAUUAACCGAUCAGCUUAUUAGUAAUGCUAUGUACGUAUAUAAUACAAUACACGUUGCUUUUUAAAAGUAAAAUACUUCAUUUCGUACGUCGUAUUUCUCUACUCGCGCGUUUUUAUCAAAUACCCAAGUACAUAUGCCUAAGUAUGCGUGCGUGUCACAUUCACAUUGGAAAAAGAACGCGUAUCAACGGAAUAUACUUUUCUUCUUCCUAACCUAUCGAUACGGUAUAGGCCAUAUCACGGCAAUCGUUCCGAGUCUUUUUUAACACUAGAACUAUCACAGCAGUCAAAUUGACUGGUUGUACGAUUUUAUUUUAAAACUCCUACUUCAUGUUACAUUCGUUCAUGAAUUUUAUUUUCUUUUCUAUGUAUUCAAACUGAAAUUUUGUAUCAAGGCUACUUAUACCAAUACCAGUCAAAGUGUAAAAUGGUCCUGCAAUCUGUUUAUCGAUCGUCGAUUAACCAGUUUCCUCGUUUUCUACAACUUGCCACGCGUUUUAAAAAUUUUUACUACGUAUCAUUCGAUAUGACGCUAGAAAUACCACACCAGUCAAAAACGACUGGUUCUACGAUUUUAUAAAUUUGUCAAGCCUCGUUUAGGGAUCCCAGAUGGAUUAAUAAUAGCAAAAAUGUACUACAUAACAUGGAAUUGCUUCUGUAAGAAAGUAAUAAAUCAAUAAAUAUAAAAAUAUUCUAUCAUUAUUACGUACGUUUUAAAGACCAGUCAUUUUCACUGGUUUUGGUAGAAAUAGCUUCGUGUUAACUAUCGGUAGUUCUAGUGUUAAACAGAUUCGCGUUUCGUUAUUUAGCUGAACAGCGAGAAGUUAAAACAUCUUUGACGCUAAACGCGCAGUUCUCCGUUCUCUUGCGUAGAAACAUCGCGAAUGGUGAAAAUUCGUUACGAGUCGAAGAAAAGAAAUGUAUUAAAUUCUCGCAACAUCUACGUAGAAGCACAACGACAUACUUAUAGAUGUUUCGCGAUAGACAUUCGUUUCUACCGUGGUGGUUCGAUGAUCCGCGCGCAUUGAUUUUACAUCGUUUGAUUUUUAUCCGCAAGCAGUGGCAAGAUAACGAAUCGCAGAACACGCUGCCACAACAUCCAACAGAUUAUAACGACUGCGGAUACCUCAGACUGGCCGAGUAAACUUCGAUGAUCAAGAAAUCCCACGAUCAAGGAUCGUUAAAUAUCGUGGAUCGCGCUCGCACGAUAAAUUAAUGCGGAAAAUACAAAAUUACAAGAAAAUCUAUACACUGGCUGACAGCUGGCUGACAGUUGGCUUGGGAACAGGACAGAAACGGCCUAGGAACUUGGGCAGACUUGAGACAAGUUUGCCAAGUGGAAUAUCAGAAAAAUUGAGAAUCUCCAGUCUGGCGCUGUUCGAAACGACGACAACGGAAGAACAGAAAAGAGGAGAUAAGAAAAACGUUAAAAAUAGCACGGUUUUGCAGACAAUUUGGAGGAAAAGAAUCGCUCGAACCCAUUGGCUGACAACUGUUUGAGAAAUUCGCACGUCGCUAACACGCGUAGACAUACAAAAUACCGAUAAACGUACCGAAAUCGACACGUGGAAUACAUGCAAUUAAGAACGAGAUGUAAUCGAUUCUACCAAAUUAGAAAUUAGGUUUACAAAGGAGGCGCAAAAAAAAAAAAAAAAAAGAAGCCCCGCGCAGUUAUGAAACAAAUGAAUACGUUUGCAUGAGAAUUUAACAAAAUAUUCUUCAAAUGUAUCUUUAUUAAAUACAAAAACUGUCGUAAGAAUAAACGUACUACACGCUUUUCCCGGAACAGUGGCCAACAAAUCGCUCUCUUGCUCUCACAACCACAGAAGACCCCUUAAUUCAAAUGAUCGAUAAGAACAAACACAUGAGAACAAACGUGAUUCUUUGUUUCUAUCGCGUGUUUCGCUUUGCACGGUAACCGAGCCUCUUUGUUAGCUUUAGCUCUUCGUGUUUCACAUAUUUCUUAAAUCGUCCUUGCAGAAAAGUAAUACGACUAGAUCAGAAGUAAUUCAGCGAUAAAGAUUCUGAAACAAGAUCAUCGACUAAUCAUACGUACUAGCUAAUAAAACAUACGGUUACAAGGUGAUCGGCUGGCAAAGCUACUACGAAUGCCAAAUGGAAAGUCAGCUAAUGAUACCGAUUAAAAAAUAUCGUGUUUUAAGGUAGAAAAACGCGAGUUUCAAUUUUCAUUUCGCUUCGCUACGUUCGUCGAUAUUUCGUUCGAAGAUAUUCCUCGUAAAAGCAAAUUUUUUACGUUCAGAUAGAUUACUCUGUAUGCUUUCUUCAACGAUUCGUCGUGUAAUUUCUGCGAGCGAUCCAAUACGCCAUAUGGAACUUAUAAUAGAACAAAGUUUUUCUCGUUACAAUAGGAUGAAUCGUGAGACAUUAAGAUUAAAACUAGUUUUAUCAUGUCUGACGACACGAAAAUCGGCAUGAAAAUAUUUUAUAUAAAAUUUAAAAUACCACGCGAGUUACAUAACGAACAGAAACUAUUCUGUAAUAGUAUGAACGUUUUCAUAGUUUCCUAUAAAAAUGAAUAGCUUUAUGCAACUAGACGUUUUAUAUACAAAUCCAAUAAUUGCGUAAUAGCUGCGUAUCGAGCUUUGCAAAUUAGUUUAUAUCGGGUUUCAUUUCAUCGAUUAAUUUGUUGCAUAAUCGUUCUAGACAAGUACGAUUCGUAAUGCUAAUUCUUGUUACAUAUUCAAUUUAUUAAAAAGUCGCUAAAAAUAAAAACGAUCGUAUCUCUUGUAUUAUGCUGUAUAACGUUCGCCGUCUUAUCGAUGUUGUUGCAUAAUUACACGUUAUUACGCUAUUCAGCUGGAAAUCGAUUGAAUACUUUUGCAUAGUAAAAUACAUAAACAGGUACUUGUUCUUCUCGAUAAAUAAUCGUUGGUUAAACACGUUUCGACGAUAUCGUCGAAAACGCAAGAAACGUGUCUGCUCGUGUUUGACGAUUCAUCCUAUUUUACACACACGCUUUUAGUUUUCUUCGUACAUGUUCACAGAGUCUCAACGAAUAAAUCAAAAUUAAAUAUCGAUUGGUCGAUGCUUGUUUGUUGCAUGCUGAUACAAAGUUCAGGAAGCAUACUCGUUUCCCUUAUACGUACUUGCAGGAAAACAUCGAUAACUAAUUGGAAUAAAAGUACAAGAAACACCUUUUCCUUUAUAUGCUAUACUACCUGAUUGCACCUCGUAUUGCCCCAUUCUAUCUUACAAGAUCUAUUAAAUUACCUUAUAAAAGUUUGUUAAAUAUACUAUGACAACUAAAAGUUUACGACAAAAGCAGAUCUUACGUUUACGGUAUUUAGCCUUGCUUAUUCGUUUAUCAACGGAUAAUUUUUAUGAUUGCGCAUGCUGAAUAUCCUAUGUAUACUGUACUGUUGCUGUAAUUCAAAAUUAAGUACUCGUUUAAACGUAUAUUUGCAUGUCACGUUCGGUCAUUGCAUUUCCUAAUAGUAAUAAAAUCAAACGAGUUACAGAAUUUUUAAUUUAGCGGAUACAAAUACAAUAGAAAUUUAAUUUAGUAUUUCUUUCAACGAAAGAUCGUUAACGAAAUUUCAUAUCCGUCAACGAAGAUUACAAUUAACACAUUAAGAUUACAAUUAAGAUUUUCACAAGGUUAAGGUUAAGGUAUGGCGCCAUUUAGAAAAAUAAAGAAUAGAGCGAUCGAAUAUUAUAGGUUAGAAAAUGCAAUAAUCUUGAUACAUGGUAUGUUUCCACUAGCAAAUCAAAACGUACAUAAUGUGAUUUCACUAUACGGAAAAAGAGUAAAAAGUAUGUUGUGCAGCGUACUAGUUGAUGUUUCUGCUCAUGAUCUCUAUUACUAUCGCUAAUCGUAAUUUGAGAACGUACACCCGUGUGUAUUAUCUACUUUUGUAUUUAAAUAUAAAUAUGACUUUCUCGAUUUGCCACACAUUCUAUACAUUACAUAUACAUGUAUAAUAGUAAUACGUAAAAACUGACUUUCAUCUAAAGUUAUUAAAUAAAUUUGAUAAACGUACUGUAACAAAGUUCUCUAACAACUUGUCAAAUUUACGCGUAACUUAGCAAACACGAGUACUCGCGAUGUAAAUAUUUUGUACAAAACACUUUGUCUUUGUCAGAGUAAAUAUAUAUAUAUAUGUAUGUUAAGUUACUAAGAUUUAAAUAUACGUACGUAGUAGUGCAAAAAGUAAACAAAUAGUAAAACGAAGGUAUUU